UGGGAAUUCGAAGCAUGUUGUUUAAUUCGAUAACCCACGACAAAUCUUACCACUUCUUGCAUAAUAUGGAUUUAAAUAUACUAAAAUAAAUAGAAAGUAUAAAUUAUAAAUAUACACUCUGUAUAUUAUAGUAUAUAAAAUAUUACAGGUGUUGCAUGGCUGUCUUUAGUUCGUGUUGUGAAAUGUUAGGUUAAUUCCGAUAACGAACGCAACCCUUAUUUUUAAUUAAAAAAAUUUCUAAUAUAUAGAAAUAUAUAAAUUAAAAAAAUUUCUAAUAUAUAGAAAUAUAUAAAUUAAAAAAAAAUCUUUCUAUAAGAAAGAGUAAUUAGGAUGAAGACAAGUCCUCAUGACCCUUAUGAAGUGGGCUACAGACGUGCCACAAAGAUUUCAACAAAGGGAUGCAAAAAUGAAAAUUAGAGCUAAUCCUUAAAUAAAAUCAUAGUUCAGAUAAGAGUCUGAAACUCGANUCUUUGAAA
This 476-nucleotide ribosomal RNA is filed under the name uncultured Pneumocystis. RNAcentral's name for it is "partial small subunit ribosomal RNA". It matches the Rfam family "Bacterial small subunit ribosomal RNA", at positions 933 to 1325 of the family's 1533-position model. Lineage: Eukaryota; Fungi; Ascomycota; Pneumocystomycetes; Pneumocystales; Pneumocystaceae. The record is from RNAcentral.